This 1272-nucleotide unclassified non-coding RNA is filed under the name Hevea brasiliensis (rubber tree). Lineage: Eukaryota; Viridiplantae; Streptophyta; Magnoliopsida; Malpighiales; Euphorbiaceae. The record is from RNAcentral.
UUUUCAUUGAAAUCUCAUAUUUAAAUGGAUUUUUCUUUUGGUUUUGACAGAUAUUACUACUUAAGCUGACUGCCAAAUUUUGGUGCUCUGCUCUUUUCAUACUUUAAAUGCCUAUGAAUACUUGCUGGCUAUGAUGCUCCUAACAUAAAAAAGAAAAAUACUAAUGUUAGACAUGGAUACAUUUCUGACCCUGUAUUUAAAAUGUGAGCAACAUAGCUGCCAACCAAAAACUAGAGCAAGUUUUAGUGAAAAUUGAAUAAUUUCCUGAAACCUUUUCCUAUUUAUUGUCUAUUCACUGGAUGUGCCAAAAAGAUCAACUUAAAGUUGAGCAAUGGAAGUAAAUUAAUUUUUAGCUUCACCCAGUUUAUAUUUGCCCUUUUUAGGAUUUUGGAUCUCCUUUUCAUUAUCUAUUCAAAUUUUGAUGCUCCUUUAUUUCCUGUUUUCUCUAAAUUAAAGCCGUAUCCUAACCUUGGAUAUGAUUUUGAUGUCCCAAUCUGGAUGUGUUCAUUUCUGGUCUUAUUAGAUUCUAUUUGCAACCCAAAUAAGGUGUCUGCUAUCUAGUCACCAACUGUUGAAUGUAUUAAUAGCUGCCUUACAAUCUUCUCAAUCUGAUGGAUUGAAUUUUGAUAAAUUUUCUUUCUCAUGAAGUUUUCCACCAGUCAGACUGUGCAUCAUAUUCUUUCAUAUGGUAAUUAGGAAUCUAGGAGAUGCCCUUCUUCACUUCCUUUUAUUGGUAAAUAUCCUGUUUUACUGAUUUAUAUAAUUUGAAUUGUUAAAAUACCUUUUUCCUCUGAAAUCCUUGUUUACAGAGAUUUGAUUAGUAGUCUGGAACUAAUUAAUAAAAAAUGGUUUUCUUUUUUUAAUUGAAUUAUUGCAUAGCGACCUAAUAGAAUUGCAUGGUUUAUUGCUGAUAUUCAUGUGUAGCAAAAGAUGAAGUCCCAUUGAAAACCCUUUUUUCUUUUAUAAGCUGUGUUCAUUUAAUAGUUACUUGGAGGCCAACCAAGUGUUUUAAACGUAAUCUUACAAAGAGUGUGCUCGCAAUUGGAUAGUUAAAACUGAAUAACAUUAAUGAAGGCACAAUUAGAGCCAGCAACUUUUGGUACAAGGUAUAAUUAGUAAUCUUAAUGUGCUGUGAAUGAAUGAAAUGAUUUUCAUCAAUUGUUAACAGAUCCUAAGCUAGCAUUAUCACACAAUGUUACUUUUUUGUUUGGAGCUAACAGCGUUACUGCAUAUUGAUGUGGUUUGCAGCGCAACUAUCGAUUCUUCUUCAUG